This 28-nucleotide small RNA is filed under the name Bombyx mori (domestic silkworm). RNAcentral describes it as "piRNA piR-bmo-1292804". Lineage: Eukaryota; Metazoa; Arthropoda; Insecta; Lepidoptera; Bombycidae. The record is from RNAcentral.
UAUUGGAUGGACAAUUGCCUUUUUGAGU